UCUCCGUAGGUGAACCUGCGGAAGGAUCAUUAUUGUAUAACCGAGGUGCGAGGGCUGCCGCUGACCCGACAGGUCGUGCACGCCCGAGUGCCCUCACACGCGUCCAUCUCACCCCUAUGUGCACCACCGCGUGGGUCCCCCUUUGGCGUGUUCGGAGGGGGGCUUACGUUUUCACACAAACUUUGUAUGCAGUGUAGAAUGUAUUUUUUGUUUUUGCGAUCACGCAAUCAAUACAACUUUCAACAACGGAUCUCUUGGUUCUC
Molecule: unclassified non-coding RNA, 263 nt
Filed under: plant metagenome
Description: partial contains small subunit ribosomal RNA, internal transcribed spacer 1, and 5.8S ribosomal RNA
Source: RNAcentral